RNAcentral lists this ribosomal RNA (257 nucleotides) under uncultured bacterium. RNAcentral describes it as "partial 16S ribosomal RNA". It matches the Rfam family "Bacterial small subunit ribosomal RNA", at positions 524 to 776 of the family's 1533-position model. The record is from RNAcentral.
UACGUAGGCAGCGAGCGUUUGUUCGGAGUUACUGGGCGUAAAGGGUGUGUAGGCGGUUGUUUUAAGUUUGGUGUGAAAUCUCCCGGCUCAACUGGGAGGGUGCGCCGAAUACUGAAUGACUUCGAGUGCGGGAGAGGAAAGUGGAAUUCCUGGUGUAGCGGUGAAAAUGCGUAGAUAUCAGGAGGAACACCGGUGGUGUAGACGGCUUUCUGGACCGUAACUGACGCUGAGACACGAAAGCGUGGGUAGCAAACAGG